RNAcentral lists this unclassified non-coding RNA (39 nucleotides) under Trypanosoma cruzi. RNAcentral describes it as "trans-spliced leader". The record is from RNAcentral. Lineage: Eukaryota; Euglenozoa; Kinetoplastea; Trypanosomatida; Trypanosomatidae.
AACUAACGCUACUAUUGAUACAGUUUCUGUACUAUAUUG